CCAUUUGAUUCUGUUUAGAAGAUAGCCACCGACUCCGAAGGGAAAGCUUCAGUGGCUGAUGGAGCUGUGACCUUUUGAGCAGGGUACAUUUGGAGCACAGAGCCGGGCAUAUAAUAUACAAGACAGCACAGACCGGAAGAAAGACUGAUGAAGAAAAGUAACAGCAUGAUUGAGGUAAUGGAGACCUACUGGAACACGCGGAGAAGCUAGUAUCUUGCAGGAAGCCAAGAUGAGGAGAGUCUUUUUAAAAUAAUCCGGUGAAGGCAGAGAGAGCGGUACCCCAGGACAGACCUCG
Molecule: small RNA, 295 nt
Filed under: Mus musculus (house mouse)
Lineage: Eukaryota; Metazoa; Chordata; Mammalia; Rodentia; Muridae
Description: Mus_sgms1_23452
Source: RNAcentral